CGCAGCUAUAACGCUAAUUGCCAGCAGCCAGUAAACAAAACAAAGAGGAAUAAAGACAGAAAGACACUGAAAGAUGUCUUGUACCGGACGUUUCGUUAAUGCUAAAGUAGCUGAGUUAGACCGGAUUACUUUGUUGCUGAACCGAAGCAAAGACUCGGAGCAACGGCUCAUUACGGCUAACACCAAAUGGAAAGCUGACUUCGACAAACUGAAACUUGACUUAAGAAGGAGUGAAGCCCAGACUAGAAAAUGCGAAAAAAUUAUAUCCAAAAUAACGAAUGAUGAUAUUUCAUGGUCAAAAAAGAAGAAAGGUGAUGCCACUACCCGGGAGCAGAAAAUGGACCUCGGCAAGGAAGACAACUAUGAAGUCCAAGAUAAAAUGCACAGCUUCCAUGAAAAGAACCAUCUCUCGGACAACGAGGAUUCCAACAGUAUGGAUGGUGAAAAACGCGAAGUAGAAAGUAGAGCAGCAAUAACCACGCAGAUGAAAUCCACAAUAAGAGAGCUGGAACUGAAAUUAAAGAACGAAUGCAUCCGUAGGAAAACAAUGGAGGAACAAAAUGCUGUUCAAAAUGAAAAAAUAAAGAACUUAGAGCUUGAGGUACAGGCUAUGAAAACUGAACGCACGUACUUGAAGAAAGAGGCCAAAACUGGCAAGACAUCACUAUCACGGUUAAAAAUAGAGGAGAAGCAAUUUUGUGAGUAUCGCUUAGACAAGACAAUCGAAAUUAUCAGUCUAGAAAAAGAAAUGACAGCUUUGGGAGCAGAAAAUGAAGCCUUUAGAAGUAAGGCAAUGCAAUAUAGCAAAAGACUUCAAAAAAGCGAGAAGAGCCUGUACGAUUGUCAAAACGAACUCGCACAGACGAAGAACAAUGUACAGAAACUACAAGAUGAAAAGAUAAUACUUGAAUCUAAGCUAAGUACUUGCAAUAUGGAGCAGCAGAAACUUAUACACCAGCAUAAUUUGCUGAAAAGGCAAAAAGACAAAGUCAAUACUGAAAAUCUCAACAUCAAGUACCAGAAAGAAAAAGAAAUUUCGGAAGCCAAGAAAAAGUAUUUGUUUUUGAGAAAAAAAUUUGAACAAUUGACAAGUCAGAAAAACGACCUGAAUACGAAGCUUCAACACUUCAAAAAUGUAAAAGAGAUCCAGUUCCAAAAAAUCCACAACUUGCAAAGUGACCUCACUACGAGAAACAACACCAUCCAACGUCAGAAAGAACAGAUUGAUUUCUUGGAGGGGACCACUCGGGAUUUGGAUCAAAAAUAUAUAAAGGAAAAGAGGG
RNAcentral lists this long non-coding RNA (1283 nucleotides) under Gouania willdenowi (blunt-snouted clingfish). Its description in RNAcentral is "lncRNA (ENSGWIG00000023195.1)". Lineage: Eukaryota; Metazoa; Chordata; Actinopteri; Blenniiformes; Gobiesocidae. The record is from RNAcentral.